CGUACACUCCUACGGCAGGCAGCAGUGGGGAAUAUUGGACAAUGGGCGCAAGCCUGAUCCAGCCAUGCCGCGUGAGUGAUGAAGGCCCUAGGGUUGUAAAGCUCUUUCACCGGUGAAGAUAAUGACGGUAACCGGAGAAGAAGCCCCGGCUAACUUCGUGCCAGCAGCCGCGGUAAUACGAAGGGGGCUAGCGUUGUUCGGAUUUACUGGGCGUAAAGCGCACGUAGGCGGACUAUUAAGUCAGGGGUGAAAUCCCGGGGCUCAACCCCGGAACUGCCUUUGAUACUGGUAGUCUUGAGUUCGAGAGAGGUGAGUGGAAUUCCGAGUGUAGAGGUGAAAUUCGUAGAUAUUCGGAGGAACACCAGUGGCGAAGGCGGCUCACUGGCUCGAUACUGACGCUGAGGUGCGAAAGCGUGGGGAGCAAACAGGAUUAGAUACCCCUGUAGUCCCAUG
This 453-nucleotide ribosomal RNA is filed under the name uncultured organism. Its description in RNAcentral is "partial 16S ribosomal RNA". It matches the Rfam family "Bacterial small subunit ribosomal RNA", at positions 330 to 799 of the family's 1533-position model. The record is from RNAcentral.